UAUUUUCAUUGUGCAUCAAAGCUUCUUGAAGAAGCUACAGGACGAGCAGGGUGAAAACCUUAGCUCGACAUUCUGCUCGCGGCUGCCAUCAGGGAUGUUUGCAAGUGAGGGUUUGGGAAAAGAAAACUUUUGGGCGCAUUCCUUCACUAUUCGCACUGUCAAAAACAAAUCUAUACAUAGUGAUUGCUUUGGUUAUGCAGUUUUAGGGAGAUGUUGAUGAUAGUAUUUCAGAUCAGUGACACGAAUUUUAGGGUUGUUGGUGCUUCAAUGUAUGUUAUUCUUUAUGAUGGCUUUAUGUAGUCGGUCUGGUCUGGUAUAGAACAAUAUAUUUUCCUAUGAUGGUGUAUUAGUAUUUUGCUUUGAAUUA
Cryptomeria japonica (Japanese cedar) is the source of this 367-nucleotide long non-coding RNA. RefSeq lists it as uncharacterized. The record is from RefSeq and is a predicted model, not a curated record. NCBI's taxonomy places the organism in Eukaryota, Viridiplantae, Streptophyta, Pinopsida, Cupressales, Cupressaceae. The transcript has 2 exons.